This 294-nucleotide long non-coding RNA is filed under the name Mytilus galloprovincialis (Mediterranean mussel). The record is from RNAcentral. Lineage: Eukaryota; Metazoa; Mollusca; Bivalvia; Mytilida; Mytilidae.
AUAUUCACGGCCGACACUCGGCUAACCGAGAGAUUGGUCGGUUAAUCUAUAUUGAGUAUGCGGCUAUAUGGGCGAUUGGUCUGUUAAUCGGGUUGGUUAUACGUCUGUUAAGAGUAAAACGCACAAUUUUAUGUUAAACUCUAUCAAAUAUACAGAUUUUUGGCAUAUUAUAAGAACCAAAUCAAAAAAAAGAAAGUGUCUGACAAAAUGAUAUCUAUCAUAGAAUAUUUUCCACCUGUAAAAACAUUUCAUAGUCUGCGCAGUUUUCAGUAAAACUAAAAGGCGUCACGCAAG